Molecule: ribosomal RNA, 1268 nt
Filed under: Clostridioides difficile
Lineage: Bacteria; Bacillati; Bacillota; Clostridia; Peptostreptococcales; Peptostreptococcaceae
Description: bacterial LSU rRNA
Rfam family: Bacterial large subunit ribosomal RNA
Source: RNAcentral
GCGUUGAAAAGCUCGGGGAUGACUUGUGGGUAGCGGUGAAAUUCCAAUCGAGCCCGGAGAUAGCUGGUUCUCCCCGAAAUAGCUUUAGGGCUAGCCUCAAGGUGAGAGAUACGGAGGUAGAGCACUGAAUGUCCUAGGGGGUAUUGCACCUACCGAAGACUAUCAAACUCCGAAUGCCGUCAUCUUAUACUUGGGAGUCAGACUGUGGGUGAUAAGAUUCAUAGUCGAAAGGGCAACAGCCCAGAUCGUCAGCUAAGGUCCCUAAAUGUAAGUUAAGUGGUAAAGGAUGUGGGAUUGCACAGACAACCAGGAUGUUGGCUUAGAAGCAGCCACUCAUUCAAAGAGUGCGUAAUAGCUCACUGGUCGAGUGAUCCUGCGCCGAAGAUUUCCGGGGCUAAAACUUACUACCGAAGCUACGGCAUCAGUAAUGAUGGGUAGGGGAGCUUCCCAUACGGGUUGAAGCAUGACCGUAAGGACAUGUGGACAGUAUGGGAGUGAGAAUGUUGGCAUGAGUAGCGAGAUGUGGGUGGGAAUCCCACAGGCCGUAAACCCAAGGUUUCCAGGGGAAGGUUCGUCCACCCUGGGUUAGUCGGGACCUAAGCUGAGGCCGAAAGGCGUAGGUGAUGGACAACAGGUUGAUAUUCCUGUACUACCGAUAACCGUUUGAGAGAAGGGAUGACACAGUAGGAUAAGCUAAGCACACUGUUGGUUAUGUGUGCCCAAGCAUUGAGGCAGUCAAAGUAGGCAAAUCCGCUUUGAUAAUGCUGGGAUGUGAUGGGGAGCGAAAUUUAGUAGCGAAGUAGCUGAUUUCACACUGUCAAGAAAAGUCUCUAUCGAGGUUAAAGGUACCCGUACCGCAAACCGACACAGGUGGGUGAGGAGAGUAUCCUAAGGCCAGCGAGAGAACUGUUGUUAAGGAACUCGGCAAAAUGACCCCGUAACUUAGGGAUAAGGGGUGCCACCAUCAGGUGGCCGCAGAGAAUAGGCCCAAGCGACUGUUUACCAAAAACAUAGGUUUCUGCUAAGUCGCAAGACGAUGUAUAGGAGCUGACGCCUGCCCGGUGCUGGAAGGUUAAGGGGAGCUGUUAGAGCAAGCGACGGAGUGGACUUAAGCCCCAGUAAACGGCGGGCGUAACUAUACCGGUCAUAAGGUAGCGAAAUUCCUGGGCGGGUAAGUUCCGACCCGGACGAAAGGCGUAACGAUUUGGGCACUGUCUCAACAACAGACUCGGUGAAAUUGUAAUUCCGGUGAAGAUGCCGGAUACCUG